Molecule: ribosomal RNA, 347 nt
Filed under: Apusomonas proboscidea
Lineage: Eukaryota; Apusomonadida; Apusomonadidae
Description: SSU rRNA
Rfam family: Eukaryotic small subunit ribosomal RNA
Source: RNAcentral
AUAGCGUAUAUUAAAGUUGCUGCGGUUAAAAAGCUCGUAGUUGGAUUUUGGAACCUGAACGUUUGGUCCGGCUCUGCCGCGUACUGAUCGUUCGGUUCUUCUGUCUGGAGACUCCUUGUCCCUUCUUAGCUGAAGGGCUUGGGGGAUCUAGGACUUUUACUUUGAACAAAUUAGAGUGCCCAACGCAGGCCUAUGCCUUGAAUACAUUAGCAUGGAAUAACGUAUAGGACUUUGGUUCUAUUUUGUUGGUUUUAAGGACCGAAGUAAUGAUUAAUAGGGACAGUUGGGGGCAUUAAUAUUUAAUUGUCAGAGGUGAAAUUCUUAGAUUUAUGAAAGAUUAACUUCUG